UCGAAUCGCACGAUUAACGGUACAUUAAACCACUAACAUAAUUUCUAACAAAAUCAAAUCAAAUCUCUACAAUUAUUUUCUUUUUCCGAUCAUCAUAACUUUAAAUUCCUCAAAAUCAAUCAUCCCGUCGCCGUCACAAUCAACGCCGCCGAUCAUUUUCCGGCACUCAUCCAGCGAGCAUUCUUCCCCAAUACUCUUCAUCACUUUCUGCAACUCUUCAGCAGAGAUCGAUCCAUUUUUAUCCACAUCAAAUACAGAAAAGGCAUCCUUCAAAUUCUCCAUAACUUCAUCGGAAUCGAUGUUCUUCGUGUUAAGCUCGAUGAAUUCACGCAAAUCGAUGAAUCCAUCUCCGUCCCCAUCGACUUCGUUAAUCAUUUCAAUCGAUUCUUCCUCUGUUACAGCGGUUCCUAAACUUGCCAUGAUGAAACCCAGUUCCGAAAACGAGAUUUUUCCGUCGCCGUUGAUGUCAAAUUUGUUGAAUACUUGUUGUAGCUCCUCUUCUAUCAUGACCGGAGUGUUCACCGGCGGGGAAUUCGCCGGCGUUGGGUCAUUUUUUUUCUUCCGAUUGAAAAGAGAUUUAAUUAAUCCCAUUUACUAAUCGAAAAAUAAGUAGUAAAUUAGGGAAGAUUUAUGAGGAUUAUAAAGAGAUUAAUUUGAAAAAAUUAUUUUGGGUUUUUG
Molecule: unclassified non-coding RNA, 678 nt
Filed under: Hevea brasiliensis (rubber tree)
Lineage: Eukaryota; Viridiplantae; Streptophyta; Magnoliopsida; Malpighiales; Euphorbiaceae
Source: RNAcentral